UGACCCUCUGGGCAUAGUGGCUUUUAUUAGAUUCAUGACCAUGCUCCCGAAAGGCGGGAGAUUUUGGUGAUUUCAGAAUAACUGCGGAACCCUAGAAGCCAUGAGCUGAGGGUGUAUCUUUCAAGAGUCUGCCCUAUCAACUUUGGAUGGUAGUGUAUCGGACUACCAUGGUUGUAACGGGUAACGGGGAAUCAGGGUUCGAUUCCGGAGAGGGAGCCUGAGAAACAGCUCAGCUACCACAUCUAAGGAAGGCAGCAGGCGCGCAAAUUACCCAAUCCUAGAACGGGGAGGUAGUGACGAAAAAUAACGAUAUGGGGCCAUUUGGUCUUGUGAUUGGAAUGGAAGCGGUUUAAAACCCCGCUUGAGGAUCUAGUGGAGGGCAAGUCUGGUGCCAGCAGCCGCGGUAAUACCAGCCUCCACAAGCAUAUACAAAAGUUGCUGCGUUUAAAAAGCUCGUAGUUGGAUCUGUUAUUCGAGACCCGCACAACUAGCUUCGCCUCUUGGUGGGCUAGGGGUCUUGAUUUCCUUGACGUUGAGAAUGCUUGCGCUUAACUGUGUCGAGUAUUCGAGACGUUA
This 576-nucleotide ribosomal RNA is filed under the name uncultured eukaryote. Its description in RNAcentral is "bacterial SSU rRNA". It matches the Rfam family "Eukaryotic small subunit ribosomal RNA", at positions 184 to 754 of the family's 1831-position model. The record is from RNAcentral.